Molecule: ribosomal RNA, 427 nt
Filed under: uncultured bacterium
Lineage: Bacteria
Description: partial 16S ribosomal RNA
Rfam family: Bacterial small subunit ribosomal RNA
Source: RNAcentral
UGGGGAAUAUUGGACAAUGGGGGCAACCCUGAUCCAGCAAUGCCGCGUGUGUGAAGAAGGUUUUCGGAUUGUAAAGCACUUUCGACGGGGACGAUGAUGACGGUACCCGUAGAAGAAGCCCCGGCUAACUUCGUGCCAGCAGCCGCGGUAAUACGAAGGGGGCUAGCGUUGCUCGGAAUGACUGGGCGUAAAGGGCGUGUAGGCGGUUUGUACAGUCAGAUGUGAAAUCCCCGGGCUUAACCUGGGAGCUGCAUUUGAUACGUGCAGACUAGAGUGUGAGAGAGGGUUGUGGAAUUCCCAGUGUAGAGGUGAAAUUCGUAGAUAUUGGGAAGAACACCGGUGGCGAAGGCGGCAACCUGGCUCAUAACUGACGCUGAGGCGCGAAAGCGUGGGGAGCAAACAGGAUUAGAUACCCUGGUAGUCCACG